UAUUGCACAAUGGGCGCAAGCCUGAUGCAGCCAUGCCGCGUGUAUGAAGAAGGCCUUCGGGUUGUAAAGUACUUUCAGCGGGGGGGAAGGGAGUAAAGUUAAUACCUUUGCUCAUUGACGUUACCCGCAGAAGAUGCACCGGCUAACUCCGUGCCAGCAGCCGCGGUAAUACGGAGGGUGCAAGCGUUAAUCGGAAUUACGGGGCGUAAAGCGAACGCAGGCGGUUUGUUAAGUCAGAUAUGAAAUCCCCGGGCUCAACCUGGGAACUGCAUCUGAGACUGGCAAGCUUGAGUCUCGUAGAGGGGGAUAGAAUUCCAGGUGUAGCGGUGAAAUGCGUAGAGAUCUGGAGGAAUACCGGUGGCGAAGGCGGCCCCCUGGACGAAGACUGACGCUCAGGUGCGAAAGCGUGGGGAGCGAACAGG
This 422-nucleotide ribosomal RNA is filed under the name uncultured bacterium. Its description in RNAcentral is "bacterial SSU rRNA". It matches the Rfam family "Bacterial small subunit ribosomal RNA", at positions 362 to 776 of the family's 1533-position model. The record is from RNAcentral.